This 1383-nucleotide unclassified non-coding RNA is filed under the name Hevea brasiliensis (rubber tree). The record is from RNAcentral. Lineage: Eukaryota; Viridiplantae; Streptophyta; Magnoliopsida; Malpighiales; Euphorbiaceae.
GGAAGAUGCUUUAUGCACGGCAGGGAAAGAAAUUCGAUUAUGAUCUAAAACAGCUAAGGUUCGCGGGUGAUCUUCUGAUGGAGUUAGGAGCUGGUGUUGAACUGGUAACUGCUGUCGUGCCACAGUUUUUUCUUCCUUUAGCCUGUGCUGCGAAUGUCGCAAAGAAUGUAGGUGCUGUCACUUCUACUUCAACUCGUACUCCUAUAUAUAAGGCCUUCGCUAAAGGGGAAAAUAUUGGGGAUGUAACAGCUAAGGGGGAAUGUGUUGGAAAUCUUGCUGAUUUACUUGGGACAGGAUUAAGUAUCUUGAUUUCCAAAAGGAAUCCAUCCUUGGUCAAGACAUUUGCAUUCCUCUCAUUUGGAUAUGUCUUCAGCUCUUACCGAGAGGUGAAAUCUGUUGUGCUGCAUACCCUGAACCGUGCAAGAUUUACAGUAGCAGUAGAAUCUUUCCUAAGGACAGGGAGAGUUCCAACACUGCAGGACGGAAAUUCAAGGGAAGACAUAUUUAAUUUUCCAUGGAGACAGCACAGGCCUAUUGUUCUUGGACCCAGAUUUAAAGAAGCUUUCCAAGAUCCAAACUCAUAUCUUUCUGUCAAGCCCAUAUUUGAGAAGGAGCAUUAUAUAGUGACAUACAAUCCUUCCAAAGAAAACAUAUAUGUGCUGCUCAAAGACCAAGCCAAGUCUGAUGAUGUACUGAAAGCAGCAUUUCAUGGCCAUGUGCUUCUGCACAUCAUUCGUUCAUGCACCAACAAACAGUCUUCCUCCAGGAAGCAACAUGAAGAUGAACAUUCAGCAUCCUUGCUAUCAACUGCUGAUCUUCAAGCUUAUGUUGCAGAAUCUUAUAAAAUGGUCUCUGCUUUAUAUAUACCUUUCAAGAGCAAAGCUAAAGAACAGGGUUGGGUGAUGUCGGAAUCACUACUUAAUCCUGGCCGAGCUCGGCUUUGUGAAAUGACCACACAUGAUACAUAGCUGUUGGAGUUGGUUGCAGAGGAACUACAAAUAAAUUUGUUUACUGAAACAAUUAUUUUGCAUGGCGCCCGCCAGUGAUGGGCAUUGCAAGAGGUUUGUGCAUCUAUAGUGAAAUGAGGUCAGAGAUCUGAAGUAACUACCGGAUAUUUAUCCUCAUUGCAACUCACUACAUGUUCUUUCGACUUUUUAGUACGAUGGUUUACCUGUGCAUCAGCAUGUAGCUAUUAGCGUAAGCAAGAAAGGUGCAUUCCGCGAAAGAGAUUUCAGUAUACUUGUUUAUUCUGCCAUAGUCUUUUCUUCUUUCUUGCAUAUAUAUUUUCAGGGGGAGGCGGGUUCCCCUGCCGUUGAGAUACGCUUCUACCCCCAGUUUCCUGUUUUUCAUACUUUUUUUAGCUAAAUGUAAUGCAAUAUCUUC